RNAcentral lists this ribosomal RNA (901 nucleotides) under uncultured Bacteroidota bacterium. Its description in RNAcentral is "bacterial SSU rRNA". It matches the Rfam family "Bacterial small subunit ribosomal RNA", at positions 8 to 916 of the family's 1533-position model. The record is from RNAcentral. Lineage: Bacteria; Pseudomonadati; Bacteroidota.
AGAGUUUGAUCCUGGCUCAGGAUGAACGCUAGCGGGAGGCCUAAUACAUGCAAGUCGAGCGGUAGAGUGACUUCGGUUGCUUGAGAGCGGCGCACGGGUGAGUAACGCGUACAUGACCUACCUUCAAGACCGGAAUAGCCCUGGGAAACUGGGAUUAAUACCGGAUGUGAUAAUAAGUAUAGAGAUUUAUUAUUAAAGUUACGGCGCUUGGAGAUGGGUGUGCGUCUGAUUAGCUAGUUGGUGAGGUAACGGCUCACCAAGGCGACGAUCAGUAGGGGGCGUGAGAGCGUGACCCCCCACACGGGUACUGAGACACGGACCCGACUCCGACGGGAGGCAGCAGUAAGGAAUAUUGGUCAAUGGGCGAAAGCCUGAACCAGCCAUCCCGCGUGCAGGAUGAAGGUCCUAUGGAUUGUAAACUGCUUUUAUCAGGGAAGAAACGCCUUCAUUCAUGGGGGUCUGACGGUACCUGAGGAAUAAGCACCGGCUAACUCCGUGCCAGCAGCCGCGGUAAUACGGAGGGUGCGAGCGUUAUCCGGAAUCACUGGGUUUAAAGGGUGCGUAGGCGGGGAAUUAAGUCAGUGGUGAAAGCCUGUCGCUUAACGAUAGAAUUGCCAUUGAUACUGAUUUUCUUGAAUUGGGUUGAGGUUAGCGGAAUGUGACAUGUAGCGGUGAAAUGCAUAGAUAUGUCAUGGAACACCAAUUGCGAAGGCAGCUAGCUGGGCCUUGAUUGACGCUGAGGCACGAAAGCGUGGGUAGCGAACAGGAUUAGAUACCCUGGUAGUCCACGCCCUAAACGAUGCUAACUCGAUGUGUGGAAGAAAUUUUGCGCAUCCAAGGAAACCGAUAAGUUAGCCACCUGGGGAGUACGACCGCAAGGUUGAACUCAAGGAAUUGACGG